This 22-nucleotide microRNA is filed under the name Monodelphis domestica (gray short-tailed opossum). RNAcentral describes it as "mdo-miR-7374c-3p". Lineage: Eukaryota; Metazoa; Chordata; Mammalia; Didelphimorphia; Didelphidae. The record is from miRBase by way of RNAcentral.
AGACCAAAAGGAAGGGAUUGCU